This is a non-coding RNA of Acanthosepion pharaonis, 114 nucleotides long. NCBI's taxonomy places the organism in Eukaryota, Metazoa, Mollusca, Cephalopoda, Sepiida, Sepiidae. The record is from the annotation of a GenBank genome assembly.
UUAUGACCAUAUCACAUUGAAACAUCAGUUCCCAUAAGAUAACCAAAGUUAAGCAAUGCCAAGCCUAGUUACUACCUAAAUGGGUGACGGCUUGGAAAUAUCAGGUGUUGUAAG